Molecule: ribosomal RNA, 910 nt
Filed under: uncultured bacterium
Lineage: Bacteria
Description: bacterial SSU rRNA
Rfam family: Bacterial small subunit ribosomal RNA
Source: RNAcentral
AGUCGACGAUGAAUCUUCUAGCUUGCUAGAAGUGGAUUAGUGGCGCACGGGUGAGUAAUGCAUAGGUUAUGUGCCCUUUAGUCUGGGAUAGCCACUGGAAACGGUGAUUAAUACUGGAUACUCCCUACGGGGGAAAGUUUUUCGCUAAAGGAUCAGCCUAUGUCCUAUCAGCUUGUUGGUGAGGUAAUGGCUCACCAAGGCUAUGACGGGUAUCCGGCCCGAGAGGGUGAUCGGACACACUGGAACUGAGACCCGGUCCAGACUCCUACGGGAGGCAGCAGUAGGGAAUAUUGCUCAAUGGGGGAAACCCUGAAGCAGCAACGCCGCGUGGAGGAUGAAGGUUUUAGGAUUGUAAACUCCUUUUGUUAGAGAAGAUUAUGACGGUAUCUAACGAAUAAGCACCGGCUAACUCCGUGCCAGCAGCCGCGGUAAUACGGAGGGUGCAAGCGUCACUCGGAAUCACUGGGCGUAAAGAGUGCGUAGGCGGGGUAAUAAGUCAGAUGUGAAAUCCUGUAGCUUAACUACAGAACUGCAUUUGAAACUGUUACUCUGGAGUGUGGGAGAGGUAGGUGGAAUUCUUGGUGUAGGGGUAAAAUCCGUAGAGAUCAAGAGGAAUACUCAUUGCGAAGGCGACCUGCUGGAACAUUACUGACGCUGAUGCACGAAAGCGUGGGGAGCAAACAGGAUUAGAUACCCUGGUAGUCCACGCCCUAAACGAUGGAUGCUAGUUGUUGCCUUGCUUGUCAGGGCAGUAAUGCAGCUAACGCAUUAAGCAUCCCGCCUGGGGAGUACGGUCGCAAGAUUAAAACUCAAAGGAAUAGACGGGGACCCGCACAAGCGGUGGAGCAUGUGGUUUAAUUCGAAGAUACGCGAAGAACCUUACCUAGGCUUGACAUUGAUAGAAUCUACU